This 257-nucleotide ribosomal RNA is filed under the name uncultured bacterium. Its description in RNAcentral is "partial 16S ribosomal RNA". It matches the Rfam family "Bacterial small subunit ribosomal RNA", at positions 337 to 586 of the family's 1533-position model. The record is from RNAcentral.
UCCUACGGGGCGCAGCAGUGGGGAAUAUUGCACAAUGGGCGCAAGCCUGAUGCAGCCAUGCCGCGUGUAUGAAGAAGGCCUUCGGGUUGUAAAGUACUUUCAGCGGGGAGGAAGGGAGUAAAGUUAAUACCUUUGCUCAUUGACGUUACCCGCAGAAGAAGCACCGGCUAACUCCGUGCCAGCAGCCGCGGUAAUACGGAGGGUGCAAGCGUUAAUCGGAAUUACUGGGCGUAAAGCGAGUGCAGGCGGUUCAAUAA